Molecule: ribosomal RNA, 465 nt
Filed under: uncultured bacterium
Lineage: Bacteria
Description: partial 16S ribosomal RNA
Rfam family: Bacterial small subunit ribosomal RNA
Source: RNAcentral
GACGAACGCUGGCGGCAUGCUUAACACAUGCAAGUCGUACGGUAAGGCCCUUUCUGGUGUCGACGAGUGGCGCACGGGUGAGUAACACGCCAGUAACCUGCCCACAACUUUGGGAUAACGCUAGGAAACUGGGGCUAAUACUGGAUAUCUGCUCCUGCUGCAUGGUGGGGGUUGGAAAGCUCCGGCGGUUGUGGAUGGACUCGCGGCCUAUCAGCUUGUUGGUGGGGUAGUGGCCUACCAAGGCGGCGACGGGUAGCCGGCCUGAGAGGGUGACCGGCCACAGUGGGACCGAGGGACGGCCCAGGGGCCUAAGGGAGGCAGAAGGGGGGAAUAUUGAACAAGGGGCGCAAGCCGGAUGCAGCAACGCCGCGGGCGGGAUAACGGACUUAGGGUUGAGAACCGCUUUCAGCAGGGACGAAGCUUGUUGUGACGGUACCUGCAGAAGAAGCACCGGCUAACUACGUG